CCCUGGAUAGCUCAGUUGGUAGAGGAUGAGAUUCUUAAGCUCAGAGUGGUGGGUUUGAGCCCCAUGUUGGCAGA
Molecule: non-coding RNA, 74 nt
Organism: Podarcis lilfordi (Lilford's wall lizard)
Lineage: Eukaryota; Metazoa; Chordata; Lepidosauria; Squamata; Lacertidae
Source: the annotation of a GenBank genome assembly